UGGUUAGAUACAUCAAGUAUGAUCAUGUUAAUGGUUACCUAACGGAUCCUUACAGUGGAGGCCAAAGCCUACUGAUUAGGUUUCUGGGGCAAAAUUAAAAUUACUAGAAAUUGUUUAGAGAAACAAUUGGUUAUGAACCUACCCUUAGAUGUACAUGGGUUGGCCAACCAAAGUUGAGCUUGUGUGCAGUCUAAGUGAAUUCUAGUACCCGCUAAGGAAUUAGGGUAAUUCUUCGAAUUGGAGGUAGAGGCUACCAAUUCGAAUAAAAUAGUGGGAGAAACCUUUUGAUUAAAGUCCAAAUCUUUAGGUUUAAUGAAUCAAUUACUAAUUAGGUUAUGAUUCUCUUUUGUGCAAAUAUGGCCACUUCCCUAUCGCUCCGAUCAUU
This 385-nucleotide long non-coding RNA is filed under the name Elaeis guineensis (African oil palm). RNAcentral's name for it is "long non-coding RNA (EGUI_LNC044891)". Lineage: Eukaryota; Viridiplantae; Streptophyta; Magnoliopsida; Arecales; Arecaceae. The record is from RNAcentral.